RNAcentral lists this long non-coding RNA (395 nucleotides) under Prunus persica (peach). RNAcentral's name for it is "long non-coding RNA (PPER_LNC000644)". The record is from RNAcentral. Lineage: Eukaryota; Viridiplantae; Streptophyta; Magnoliopsida; Rosales; Rosaceae.
CUCACUAUUUUCGUUCUCCGGAAGCUCUUGUUCAUUUCUUUCUCCAGUGGACUCUUCUCCAGAAUUCUCCUCGGGGCUCUUGUUCAGUUGUUCAGCUUCAGUUCGAGAUCCAUCUUAUAUUUAUAUAUAUAUGCAAAGAGAAAAAUGAAAAAUAAUCUUCAAAUAAUCUUCAAAAUAAUCUUCAAAAAUGCAAGUUACUAUUGUAAAAUAAGUACUAAAUUCCUUAGGCAUGCACGCAUAGAAUCACAUCAAGGAGAAGAUCUUGAAUCAAAUAAAUUUACAUACCUGCCAUUGAUGAAAGCUGUAGAGUUCUUAUGUUCAACAGGCAAUACAGACUAGAUGUUUUGAAUGUGUGUUUGGAAUAGAGGAUGGAUCUCUUUAAAACCAGUAGAAAG